RNAcentral lists this ribosomal RNA (253 nucleotides) under uncultured bacterium. Its description in RNAcentral is "partial 16S ribosomal RNA". It matches the Rfam family "Bacterial small subunit ribosomal RNA", at positions 524 to 776 of the family's 1533-position model. The record is from RNAcentral.
UACGUAGGGCGCAAGCGUUAUCCGGAAUUAUUGGGCGUAAAGAGCUCGUAGGCGGCUCGUUGCGUCGGCUGUGAAAACCCGCAGCUCAACUGUGGGCUUGCAGCCGAUACGGGCGGGCUUGAGUUCGGUAGGGGAGACUGGAAUUCCUGGUGUAGCGGUGAAAUGCGCAGAUAUCAGGAGGAACACCGGUGGCGAAGGCGGGUCUCUGGGCCGAAACUGACGCUGAGGAGCGAAAGCGUGGGGAGCGAACAGG